This 76-nucleotide transfer RNA is filed under the name Chthoniobacterales bacterium. Its description in RNAcentral is "tRNA-Pro". It matches the Rfam family "tRNA". From Rfam's summary of the family: Transfer RNA (tRNA) molecules are approximately 80 nucleotides in length. Their secondary structure includes four short double-helical elements and three loops (D, anti-codon, and T loops). Lineage: Bacteria; Pseudomonadati; Verrucomicrobiota; Spartobacteria; Chthoniobacterales. The record is from RNAcentral.
CGGGCUGUAGCGUAGUAGCCAACGCACCUGCCUUGGGAGCAGGGGAUCGCGGGUGCAAGUCCCGCCAGCCCGACCA